RNAcentral lists this ribosomal RNA (207 nucleotides) under uncultured bacterium. Its description in RNAcentral is "partial 16S ribosomal RNA". It matches the Rfam family "Bacterial small subunit ribosomal RNA", at positions 524 to 729 of the family's 1533-position model. The record is from RNAcentral.
UACGUAGGCAGCAAGCGUUGUUCGGAGUUACUGGGCGUAAAGGGUGCGUAGGCGGUCCUAUAAGUAUGGUGUGAAAUCUCCCGGCUUAACUGGGAGGGUGCGCUAUAGACUGUGGGACUAGAGUGUGGGAGAGGAAAGUGGAAUUCCUGGUGUAGCGGUGAAAUGCGUAGAUAUCAGGAGGAACACCGGUGGUGUAAAACGGCUUUC